AGGAGUUAUAAACCACAAAUUCACAUAAAAAAAAUUCGAAUUUCCAAAUUUUAUAUUUUUUAUGCUCGUUUAAUUCGGCCAAAUGAUUUUUGGCCGAGUGCGAGGGAGCCUGGGUUGAUGACGUAGAUGGAGUAACUCGUCCUUCGGUAAAUACAAAGUUUACUGUACAAGUUCCACAUAUUUCAUUACAAAUCUAUGUUUUCUAAGACUGAACGUGGGAUAAUCCAGCCUGAAACGGCAAAUCUAAUGCUACUAGAGAUUAUUCUGACGAUUUGAACGUUAUUUCAUGUCUUGGCUAUAAAAAUGGAGCCAAAGUGUUGAGAGAUUAUUCUGGACAAACAAGUGUUGCGUAUAGAUCUAGAUAAAUAUCGAGGAACAGGAAAAGUUAUUUACGGCCCCAGGUAUCUAUCGUUGUCUCUCGAAUGACUUACUCCCUCUACGUCAUCACGAAGACAUUGAUCAGGCACACAGGAAUCCCGAAAUUGGCUUUGUCCGCGGUUGUUUUCGCUUCAAAAUGUAGUUUAAAUAAACGAAAUCAAAUUUGUUUGUA
This 550-nucleotide long non-coding RNA is filed under the name Exaiptasia diaphana. Its description in RNAcentral is "uncharacterized LOC114574773". The record is from RNAcentral. Lineage: Eukaryota; Metazoa; Cnidaria; Anthozoa; Actiniaria; Aiptasiidae.